RNAcentral lists this long non-coding RNA (320 nucleotides) under Brassica napus (rape). Its description in RNAcentral is "long non-coding RNA (BNAP_LNC025168)". Lineage: Eukaryota; Viridiplantae; Streptophyta; Magnoliopsida; Brassicales; Brassicaceae. The record is from RNAcentral.
UAGAAGUCAUAAUAUUAGGAGUAAUGAUGGUAAUUAAGGAGGAAAGAAGAAAGCAGAAAAUGCGGUUGGAAAAUUAGGUGCUUAAAGUUAGUUGAGUCUAUCCCAGUAUCUAACAGUCAACUCUCUCUCUCUCUCUCUCUUUACCUAGCUAUUAUUAUUAUUUUUAUUUUAAAACAAUGACCUGACAUAUGCAUAUGUCUUUUCUCUCUCUACUCUCUACACAUGUAAUUCAAUUCAAUUAAAGAAGAGACAGAGAAGUUCGUCUUUGUUUGUAUACCCUUAAAUCAUGCAACCCCUUAUUCUCAUUCCUACUCCCUGUC